Molecule: long non-coding RNA, 242 nt
Filed under: Elaeis guineensis (African oil palm)
Lineage: Eukaryota; Viridiplantae; Streptophyta; Magnoliopsida; Arecales; Arecaceae
Description: long non-coding RNA (EGUI_LNC066561)
Source: RNAcentral
CUCCUCCACUUUAUAAGUCUAGUAGGAUUUUCUGUCCUCCUGAGAGAUACUUAGGUAUCAUCACAGAGGAUGUUGAGGAAAUAUUUCUCAUUGGAAAUGGGGUACAUAGUGCGAGAAAUGGUUAGAGGUAAUGAAGUCAGAAAUUGACUUAAUUUGCUUAAAUCAAGUUUGGACCUUAGUGGAUCCACUAGCUGAUAUUGUACAUAUUAGGUGUAAAUAGAUUUACAAAAAAAAGAUUAGUU